This 253-nucleotide ribosomal RNA is filed under the name uncultured bacterium. RNAcentral describes it as "partial 16S ribosomal RNA". It matches the Rfam family "Bacterial small subunit ribosomal RNA", at positions 524 to 776 of the family's 1533-position model. The record is from RNAcentral.
UACGUAGGGAGCAAGCGUUGUUCGGAAUUACUGGGCGUAAAGCGCAUGUAGGCGGCAGCGCAAGUCGGGCGUGAAAUCCCACGGCUCAACCGUGGAAGUGCACUCGAAACUGCGCAGCUAGAGUCCUGGAGAGGAAGGUGGAAUGCUUGGUGUAGAGGUGAAAUUCGUAGAUAUCAAGCGGAACACCGGUGGCGAAGGCGGCCUUCUGGACAGUGACUGACGCUGAGAUGCGAAAGCGUGGGGAGCAAACAGG